AGCAGCCGCGGUAAUUCCAGCUCCAAUAGCGUAUAUUAAAGUUGUUGCAGUUAAAAAGCUCGUAGUUGAACCUCAGGCCAGGUCAGGCGGUCCGCCCUCUGGGCGUGUACUGCCGCGAUUUGGCCUAACCUUCUGGCGACCUGGUCGGUUUAGCCGGCCAGUUAGCCAGGACUUUUACUUUGAAAAAAU
Molecule: ribosomal RNA, 189 nt
Filed under: uncultured Paraglomus
Lineage: Eukaryota; Fungi; Glomeromycota; Glomeromycetes; Paraglomerales; Paraglomeraceae
Description: partial 18S ribosomal RNA
Rfam family: Eukaryotic small subunit ribosomal RNA
Source: RNAcentral